AACGAACGCUGGCGGCAUGCCUAACACAUGCAAGUCGAACGAUGCUUUCGGGCCUAGUGGCGCACGGGUGCGUAACGCGUGGGAAUCUGCCCUGGGGUUCGGGAUAACAGCGGGAAACUGCUGCUAAUACCGGAUGAUAUCGCGAGAUCAAAGAUUUAUCGCCCUGGGAUGAGCCCGCGACGGAUUAGGUAGUUGGUGGGGUAAGAGCCUACCAAGCCGACGAUCCGUAGCUGGUCUGAGAGGAUGAUAAUCCACACUGGGACUGAGACACGGCCCAGACUCCUACGGGAGGCAGCAGUGGGGAAUAUUGGACAAUGGGCGCAAGCCUGAUCCAGCAAUGCCGCGUGAGUGAUGAAGGCCUUAGGGUUGUAAAGCUCUUUUACCCGGGAUGAUAAUGACAGUACCGGGAGAAUAAGCCCCGGCUAACUCCGUG
Molecule: ribosomal RNA, 433 nt
Filed under: uncultured bacterium
Lineage: Bacteria
Description: partial 16S ribosomal RNA
Rfam family: Bacterial small subunit ribosomal RNA
Source: RNAcentral